Molecule: transfer RNA, 75 nt
Filed under: Podarcis lilfordi (Lilford's wall lizard)
Lineage: Eukaryota; Metazoa; Chordata; Lepidosauria; Squamata; Lacertidae
Description: tRNA.Lys
Rfam family: tRNA (bases 10-67)
About the family: Transfer RNA (tRNA) molecules are approximately 80 nucleotides in length.
Source: RNAcentral
GCUCUGGGAUAGCUCAGUCAGUAGUGCAUGAGACUCUUAAUCUCAGGGUUGUGAGUUCAAGGCCCACAUUGGGUA